GCUGUCUAGUAUAGCAUUAUACCGUGAAACUGCGAAUGGCUCAUUAAAUCAGUUAUCGUUUAUUUGAUAGUACCUUACUACUUGGAUAACCGUGGUAAUUCUAGAGCUAAUACAUGCUAAAAACCCCGACUUCGGGAGGGGUGUAUUUAUUAGAUAAAAAACCAAUGCCCUUCGGGGCUCUUUGGUGAUUCAUGAUAACUUAACGGAUCGCAUGGCCUUGCGCCGGCGACGGUUCAUUCAAAUUUCUGCCCUAUCAACUUUCGAUGGUAAGGUAUUGGCUUACCAUGGUUUCAACGGGUAACGGGGAAUUAGGGUUCGAUUCCGGAGAGGGAGCCUGAGAAACGGCUACCACAUCCAAGGAAGGCAGCAGGCGCGCAAAUUACCCAAUCCCGACACGGGGAGGUAGUGACAAUAAAUACUGAUACAGGGCUCUUUUGGGUCUUGUAAUCGGAAUGAGUACAAUUUAAACCCCUUAACGAGGAACAAUUGGAGGGCAAGUCUGGUGCCAGCAGCCGCGGUAAUUCCAGCUCCAAUAGCGUAUAUUAAAGUUGUUGCAGUUAAAAAGCUCGUAGUUGAACCUUGGGCCUGGCUGGCCGGUCCGCCUCACCGCGUGCACUGGUCCGGCCGGGCCUUUCCUUCUGGAGAGCCUCAUGCCCUUUACUGGGUGUGUAGGGGAACCAGGACUUUUACUUUGAAAAAAUUAGAGUGUUCAAAGCAGGCCUUUGCUCGAAUACGUUAGCAUGGAAUAAUAGAAUAGGACGUGCGGUCCUAUUUUGUUGGUUUCUAGGACCGCCGUAAUGAUUAAUAGGGAUAGUCGGGGGCAUCAGUAUUCAAUUGUCAGAGGUGAAAUUCUUGGAUUUAUUGAAGACUAACUACUGCGAAAGCAUUUGCCAAGGAUGUUUUCAUUAAUCAGUGAACGAAGGUUAGGGGAUCGAAGACGAUCAGAUACCGUCGUAGUCUUAACCGUAAACUAUGCCGACUAGGGAUCGGGCGAUGUUUCUAUCUUGACUCGCUCGGCACCUUACGAGAAAUCAAAG
Molecule: ribosomal RNA, 1037 nt
Filed under: Lojkania enalia
Lineage: Eukaryota; Fungi; Ascomycota; Dothideomycetes; Pleosporales
Description: SSU rRNA
Rfam family: Eukaryotic small subunit ribosomal RNA
Source: RNAcentral